CGGCUACCCGACGCCGACGCCGAAGCCGCCGGCCAAGGGGCCCAAGCCGGAGAAGCCCCCGACCAAGGGCCACGGCCACAAGCCGGAGAAGCCGCCCAAGGAGCACAAGCCGACUCCGCCCACCUACACCCCGAGCCCCAAGCCCACGCCGCCGCCGGCUACUCCCAAGCCGACGCCGCCCACCUACACGCCGAGCCCUAAGCCCAAGUCGCCGGUCUACCCUCCCCCGCCGAAAGCCAGUACUCCUCCGACCUACACCCCGAGCCCCAAGCCUCCGGCGACCAAGCCGCCUACCUACCCGACCCCCAAGCCACCAGCUACCAAGCCUCCGACACCUCCUGUGUACACUCCGAGCCCCAAACCACCGGUUACAAAGCCUCCUACACCCAAGCCGACCCCGCCGGUGUACACGCCGAACCCCAAGCCACCGGUUACCAAGCCUCCGACACACACGCCGAGCCCCAAGCCUCCGACAUCCAAGCCGACUCCGCCGGUGUACACACCGAGCCCCAAGCCACCGAAGCCGUCCCCGCCGACGUACACGCCGACCCCGAAGCCACCGGCUACCAAGCCGCCCACCUCAACUCCGACGCACCCUAAGCCGACGCCGCACACGCCUAUCCCCAAGCCCACGCCGCCAACCUACAAGCCGGCACCGAAGCCGACGCCGCCGGCGCCCACCCCGCCGACAUACACGCCGCCGGUGUCGCACACCCCCAGCUCGCCGCCGCCGCCGCCGCCGCCGCCUUACUACUAGACGAAGAAGUGAUGAGGUCUCCCACUCUGCUGUCAGUCUCGGAGCAUUUAGGUACGUGCUACAAGAAUGGAGCAUGCACAUACAUACAUACAUACAUACAUUUUCUAUAUAUGCUUGUGUCAAAUGUAUCAUACUGUACUCACUAACAAUCGGUUCCGUUUUUUUGUGUUGCAGAAGGUGAUCGAUCGAAGAGUUUGUGUCCUAGCCAGCCGGCCAAGAUGAGCUGCUGAU
Molecule: long non-coding RNA, 988 nt
Filed under: Sorghum bicolor (sorghum)
Lineage: Eukaryota; Viridiplantae; Streptophyta; Magnoliopsida; Poales; Poaceae
Description: long non-coding RNA (SBIC_LNC011143)
Source: RNAcentral